This 71-nucleotide transfer RNA is filed under the name Cyrtodactylus peguensis. Its description in RNAcentral is "tRNA Ser". It matches the Rfam family "tRNA". Rfam says of the family: Transfer RNA (tRNA) molecules are approximately 80 nucleotides in length. Their secondary structure includes four short double-helical elements and three loops (D, anti-codon, and T loops). The record is from RNAcentral. Lineage: Eukaryota; Metazoa; Chordata; Lepidosauria; Squamata; Gekkonidae.
AAGAGAAAAGCAGUGUUGGUGUGCAACUAUCUUGAAAUUAGGAGGAGGGGGUUCGAGUCCCUCAUCUCUUG